GACGAACGCUGGCGGCGUGCUUAACACAUGCAAGUCGAACGGAAAGGCCCUGCUUUUGUGGGGUGCUCGAGUGGCGAACGGGUGAGUAACACGUGAGUAACCUGCCCUUGACUUUGGGAUAACUUCAGGAAACUGGGGCUAAUACCGGAUAGGAGCUCCUGCUGCAUGGUGGGGGUUGGAAAGUUUCGGCGGUUGGGGAUGGACUCGCGGCUUAUCAGCUUGUUGGUGGGGUAGUGGCUUACCAAGGCUUUGACGGGUAGCCGGCCUGAGAGGGUGACCGGCCACGAUAGGACUGGGAUACGGCCCAGACUCCUACGGGAGGCAGCAGUGGGGAAUAUUGCACAGUGGGCGGAAGCCUGAUGCAGCAACGCCGCGUGCGGGAUGACGGCCUUCGGGUUGUGAACCGCUUUCGCCUGUGACGAAGCGUGAGUGACGGUAAUGGGUAAAGAAGCACCGGCUAACUACGUG
RNAcentral lists this ribosomal RNA (468 nucleotides) under uncultured bacterium. Its description in RNAcentral is "partial 16S ribosomal RNA". It matches the Rfam family "Bacterial small subunit ribosomal RNA", at positions 28 to 507 of the family's 1533-position model. The record is from RNAcentral.